Molecule: unclassified non-coding RNA, 253 nt
Filed under: uncultured Legionellales bacterium
Lineage: Bacteria; Pseudomonadati; Pseudomonadota; Gammaproteobacteria; Legionellales
Description: contains 16S-23S intergenic spacer region
Rfam family: Bacterial small subunit ribosomal RNA
Source: RNAcentral
UACGGGGGGUGCAAGCGUUAAUCGGAGUUAUUGGGCGUAAAGGGUGCGUAGGUGGUUCAUUAAGUCAUGUGGGAAAUUCCUGGGCUCAACCUAGGAAUGUCGGAUGAUACUGGUGGACUUGAGUAUAGUAGAGGGUAGUGGAAUUUCCGGUGUAGCGGUGAAAUGCGUAGAGAUCGGAAGGAACACCAGUGGCGAAGGCGGCUACCUGGACUAAUACUGACACUGAGGCACGAAAGCGUGGGGAGCAAACAGG